CAUACGAUGACUUGAAAUAAAACCCUUAUUCUGUGGGCUGAAUUCAGACAGAAAUCAGACAGAAUUUAGCUUUAUGUUAAAGACUGUUGUGCAAGUACCCUCUUGUAGCAGGAGUGAGCGGCUGCAGCUUUCUAAUUUAUUUAUCGUUAUUUGAUUUGUUUCUUGGAUUGACUUGGUGUCUGGAGCUUUGUGGUUAACAGUGAUCAUCUAAACAUUGUGGUUGGAAUCAUCCCAAAUGGCUGGCAAAAGAUUGCUUGUAACUGUCAGUGUAGAACAGGAAAGGCAGGUAUAGGUUAGGGAGGGCAUCCAUCGGUGAGCUCUGACUGGAUAUGAGGACCUGUCACACUUGACCAGAGAUGAAGGCUGCAGCACAUUCCUGGAUCAGAGGACUCCAUGUUGGACACCACAACCUGGAGAAUUUCCGUCCUGGAUGGCUGCGGUGAUGACCUCUCCCAAGAUGAACCGACCCUUGUACGACGAGAACUUUGCCCAAGACGAACCGACCCUUCUACGACGAGGACUUCACCCAAGAUGAACCAACCCGUAGAAAGAUGAACCGACCCUUCUACGACAAGGACUUUACCCAAGAUGAACCGACCCUUCUACGAUGACGCCUCUUUUCCACGGAAUGUCUUCAGGAACAACCUGCUUCCUGCUCACGGAGACCUGGUCAGACCCACCAUAUACAAAAGCCUGAGCAUGUCAAAAAAAAGAUUUAUGGCUUUGAUUUAAAAGUUAAUUUUGGUCUUGAAUAUCCGUUAUCAUAGUUGCAACUUGGACUGUUGACAAAUGUAGAAGCUUUAUUCUCAACUGUUGAUUGCUUUGUUAAGAUAACUGAUUCCUGAUUUGAUUAUGAAGUUAAACUUUUGAUUUAUAUCCAAGUGUAGUCACAUUAGAUUGUAGGUGUUAUUCAGCCCAUGGAUAGUUUUAUGAUGUGCUUUAAAUCUGGCAUUUGUUGGCACACUUGAUAACCAUUAAAGUCUUAAACUUAAUGCACUGCCAUCAACCUUUGUAGUCGCUAACUGAAAUCGAAUUCAAUAUUAAUGCUGACUUGUCUCACUCUGCCAAGUUUAUUUCCCUCUAAAGGAGUUGAACCUUUUUGUGUUCAUAGUCUUUUUGCGCGUCAUGUUGGGAGGCCUCCCAGCAGGGGAUUUUUAUCUUCCCCUGCAAAACAAUGCGUUACUCGCCUUAGGGAUGCAGGGCUAUCCUGCAUAGUUUCUUACAUAAAUGGGAUUGUAGGUUGCAGGAUUAGAGCGCGUUUCUUUUCUUUAGGCGGACACAAACCUGGCAGAGAGACAACUCAGAUUAAUUGUAGCAGGAGUGAGCAGCUGCAGCUUUUACAUUUUAUUAAAUCGUUUAAAUCGUUAUUUGAUUUAUUUCUUGGAUUGACUUGGUGUCUGGAGCUUUGUGGUUAACCCUGAUCAUGUAAACGUGUAAACACAAGUGGUCUUUUGGCUCUUAUUUGCGAAGCUGGCAGCUGGUUGAAAUGGUAGGACUUUAUGGCUUGCCCAAAGUGGGAUUUUUGAUAGAGCAUAGGGUUAACGUCUCACCAUACACUAGCUAUUUCAGUGAACAAGUGUCUGUAGUCUGUUAUUAUCCGUGACUUUCUUUCAAAUUUCACAAUUUAGGCAGCUUGUAGAGUCAUUAGGAAGAUGCUUAAUCCGAAUGUCUUGGUUGGUUGCAUGAGAAACAGCUAUCUCUUAGAUGUGUUGGUGAAGUUCCUCUGAUUUUUGUAGACUUGCCCUAAAGUUUCUCUCCGCUUUAACUCUUGUUGAGCUAUGCAUUAAAUGAUUCCUCCAACUUGUCUCAAUUUUUUUCUCCCUGCAGCCUUCCACCACCCACUGCUGCUGUUGCAUAUGCUAAAGGUAGUCGUUUCCUGAUUCACUGCGUCUUCAUGUGUUGGGUAAGAAGUGUCAUUAGACUACUAACAAUGUAAACACCUUUUAAAUGCUUGAUCUAAUUUACCCAAAUGGUUCAUCAGUUUAGGACAGAAAAUCAUUGAAUUUGACAUUCUUGGGGUCAGUAACCUGACCUCUAAAUGUUUGGGAAACCAUGCAAAAGAUCGUGAGCUCUCUGCAUGACCCAACAGCACUGAUGUUUGAGUGAUUUAAUUGCUCAGUUUUUAAAUCAGUCAAGAUUUUAUGAGCUGGGUCUUCUUCACACAACAGAGAACAAGGUAAAUUGAGUCGACUCGUAACAUGGUAAGGCAUUCGUCCUUCCCCUUCUUCUCUGUGUGUGAGGAAAUCUGGCCACGGAUCCUGACUGAGUGGCAUACCAUGGCUGUGCAGUUUCCAAAAUCAGAUAAGGAUCCAUCUGAUUUUGUGACUCAGCCUGUCAUGAUAUGCAUUUAUCUUCCUCCAAAACAAAUGAUUAGAAUUGACAGGUUUGUAGUGUAAAUCACAUCACAUGUAGAUGGUGAAGCAUUUGUUUAAAUUGGGAUCAAGCAUUUUCAGGUGUCUGCUUUGUCAAUACUCUGGUGCCACGUCUUGCUAAACACACGAGAAGCUCUGAUAUGUGAAACUG
Solea solea (common sole) is the source of this 2523-nucleotide long non-coding RNA. RefSeq lists it as uncharacterized. The record is from RefSeq and is a predicted model, not a curated record. The transcript has 4 exons. Lineage: Eukaryota; Metazoa; Chordata; Actinopteri; Pleuronectiformes; Soleidae.